UACGUAGGUGGCAAGCGUUGUCCGGAAUUAUUGGGCGUAAAGAGCUCGUAGGCGGUUUGUCGCGUCUGGUGUGAAAGGCCGGGGCUCAACCCCGGGUCUGCAGUGGGUACGGGCAGGCUAGAGUGCAGUAGGGGAGACUUGAAUUCCUGGUGUAGCGGUGAAAUGCGCAGAUAUCAGGAGGAACACCGAUGGCGAAGGCAGUUCUCUGGGCUGUAACUGACGCUGAGGAGCGAAAGCAUGGGGAGCGAACAGG
Molecule: unclassified non-coding RNA, 253 nt
Filed under: uncultured Micrococcaceae bacterium
Lineage: Bacteria; Bacillati; Actinomycetota; Actinomycetes; Micrococcales; Micrococcaceae
Description: contains 16S-23S intergenic spacer region
Rfam family: Bacterial small subunit ribosomal RNA
Source: RNAcentral